UGGUGCCCAACAGUGAGACUCAAGUACAAAGGGACCAGUGAAGAUCACUGCAGUGUUUUUGGUUGGCUGACAAAUUUUGUGUGGAAGAAGGCUUAUGCGGAACCUGCCUCCUCGACUAAGGAUCCUGGUAAGUUUGUGAUGAUCAUGGAAAAGGCACCGAGGAGCCAUGAAUUACUUGUGGAAUGGUUGAAAAAGGCUUUAAAGGCACGAGGGAUAAAGGAUAAAAUAUAUGAUUUGCUUGCAUUUUUUGAUUUUGUAAAAGAGAUUUGUCCAU
Non-coding RNA from Mus musculus (house mouse), 274 nucleotides. The record is from Rfam. Lineage: Eukaryota; Metazoa; Chordata; Mammalia; Rodentia; Muridae.